This 802-nucleotide ribosomal RNA is filed under the name uncultured bacterium. RNAcentral describes it as "bacterial SSU rRNA". It matches the Rfam family "Bacterial small subunit ribosomal RNA", at positions 8 to 796 of the family's 1533-position model. The record is from RNAcentral.
AGAGUUUGAUCAUGGCUCAGGACGAACGCUGGCGGCGUGCUUAACACAUGCAAGUCGAGCGGAAAGGCUUCCUUCGGGAAGUACUCGAGCGGCGAACGGGUGAGUAACACGUGGAUAAUCAACCUCUUGCUCUGGAAUACCCCGGGGAAACUCGGAUCAAUGCCAGAUAAAGUGCGGUGCUGUCGGGCGCCGUACCAAAGAUAGCUUCGGCCUUCGGCGAGAGACGAGUCCGCGGCCCAUUAGCUAGUUGGCGGGGUAAUGGCCCACCAAGGCUACGAUGGGUAGCUGGUCUGAGAGGAUGAUCAGCCACACUGGGACUGAGACACGGCCCAGACUCCUACGGGAGGCAGCAGUGGGGAAUCUUGCGCAAUGGGCGAAAGCCUGACGCAGCAACGCCGCGUGCGGGAGGAAGGCCUUCGGGUUGUAAACCGCUUUCAGGGGAGACGAAGCUUCCAGGGUGAAUAGCUCUGUGGAGUGACGGUAUCUUCAGAAGAAGUCCCGGCUAACUACGUGCCAGCAGCCGCGGUGAUACGUAGGGGACAAGCGUUGUCCGGAAUUAUUGGGCGUAAAGCGCGUGUAGGCGGCCAAGUAAGUCUUACGUGAAAUCCUGAGGCUCAACCUCAGGCCUGCGCGGGAUACUGCUUGGCUAGAGUCCGGAAGAGGAGAGUGGAAUUCCUGGUGUAGCGGUGGAAUGCGCAGAUAUCAGGAGGAACAUCCGUGGCGAAGGCGGCUCUCUGGGACGGUACUGACGCUGAGACGCGAAAGCGUGGGGAGCGAACAGGAUUAGAUACCCNNGUAGUCC